GACGAACGCUGGCGGCGUGCUUAACACAUGCAAGUCGAACGGAGUGGCGAACGGUUGAGUAACACGUGGGUGCUCUGCCUUUCACUUCGGGAUAAGCUUGGGACACUGGGUCUAAUACCGGAUAGUGCAAGAUGAGCUCGCGGCCUCUCAGCUUGGUGGUGGGGUACUGGCCUACCAAGGCGUCGACGGGUAGCCGGCCUGAGCGGGUGUACGGCAAAAUGGGGACUGAGAUACGGCCCAGACUCCUACGGGAGGCAGCAGUGGGGAAUAUUGCACAAGGGGCGGAAGCCUGAUGCAGCGACGCCGCGUGGGGGAUGAAGGCCUUCGGGUUGUAAACUCCUUUCGACAGGGACGCGGUACCUGUAUAAGAAGAACCGGCUAACUACGUGCCAGCAGCCGCGGUAAUUC
This 408-nucleotide ribosomal RNA is filed under the name uncultured bacterium. RNAcentral describes it as "partial 16S ribosomal RNA". It matches the Rfam family "Bacterial small subunit ribosomal RNA", at positions 28 to 526 of the family's 1533-position model. The record is from RNAcentral.